Molecule: long non-coding RNA, 1564 nt
Organism: Thalassophryne amazonica
Lineage: Eukaryota; Metazoa; Chordata; Actinopteri; Batrachoidiformes; Batrachoididae
Exons: 5
Source: RefSeq, a predicted model, not a curated record
UCCAGGUGGUGGCAGAGGAAAGAGGCGCUUUCCUUCAGCAAACCCUCUUCCUGCCAGGCGGUCCAAACCAUUUGAGCUAGCUUUCUAUUUGUUGCCAAACAAUGUGACAAAACCCCAAAAGAGCAGGAGGAAAAUAGUGCAUCUGCAGGCAGGACUGGCCGUAGAACUGCUCAUCUAAAUGAGAGCACAACACGUGAAGAGUUAUGUGAUGCCCUCAGAGUUUUAUUCCCAAGGUUGGGGACGGUCACUGGUGGGUGGCUACUAUACAAAUCUUCAGGUGGAUGGGGGAGCCGGCAGCUGUCUCUUGUGGCUCCUGAUGAGAGUGGCUAUACAGGAAUAAUGUUGAAGUCUGUAACUCGUUGGGGGAAAAAUCUAUUCAUUGCCCCUAUUCAAGAAGAACUCAGUACAAAUCCUCUGCCACUAACUGAUGAAGCAUUCAGGAACAUGCCAAAAGACACAUGUCAGAAGUGUGAAGUAGCAGUUCCUCUUCCGCUCCUGACAGAACACAUCAAGACUUGUAAUGGCUUGGAUGUUAGCAGUGACAGUACCCUGGACAAUGUGGACACCAGUGAAACUAAAGAGAGAAAAUGUGCUUCUUCAGCGUAUAUGGCCUCGUGAGGAAGACAGCGACGAUGACGACUGUUCUGUGGAAAUCAGAUGCCGGAUGUCAAGCUAUCUACAUCAGUUCAUAGCUAAUGCAACACCAGCUGAACUGACCAGCCUCGUCAAAUUCUGGACUGGAUGGGAGGUUCUCCCUCCAAGUCUCUCAGUGCAAGUCAUCAAUGGCAGCUAUCCCACAGCUUCCACCUGCUUUGAGACCAUUCGCAUCCUAGGGCAUUACAAGGAUUACACAUCCUUUAAAAAUGACAUCCUGUCCUGUAUCUGCACUUGCCACACAGGAUUUGGUCUUGUGUGAUUGACAUUUGGGUCUGUGUUUACACUCAGUAGUUCUGUAAAAUGGUGACGUGUUGUUGAAACAAUAUUCCAAGUUAUCAAAAGAUGGGCUUACACUUCUUUUAAUAUCAGUGUUAUACAGUUGAGGGUUCUUUGCUGCUUAAAAUUGUGUUUAAAAUGCACUGUAUUUGAGUACUGAUUAUACUGAAUGGAAUGAAAAUUUUCAAAAACAUGAACAUGUAAACUCAAAAUCUGAAUUCUUUCUGAUUCUGUGUCAGGAUGUGAGUUUUUGGCUGGUUUUGUUUUCAUGCUUCUGCCACAUUUCUGUUGUUUAUAGGCUUACUUUCUUGCUGGGGUUUUUUUUUCCUGCUUGGGUUUAUCUGUCCCUGUCUCUCCUGUUUCUUGGUGGUGGGCGUUGCCUCUCUCUGGCUACACCCUCAUUCAUGUGCAUUCCACGCACACCUGCUCCCAUCACCUGGGUGUAUUUAAGCUCCUCAUUUUGCCCUGCUCCCUCACCAGAUUGAUGCGCCCUGUGCCUUCUCUCAAGCUCUGUUUUUGUGUAUUUUUGACCUGCUUGCCUCUCGUGUUUUGACCACCUGCCUGUAUUAUUGACCACGUCUAAGCCUGGUAUUCCAUGUACUUUUGCUCUUGUUGGACUGCCUUUUUCUGU